RNAcentral lists this ribosomal RNA (445 nucleotides) under uncultured bacterium. Its description in RNAcentral is "partial 16S ribosomal RNA". It matches the Rfam family "Bacterial small subunit ribosomal RNA", at positions 354 to 796 of the family's 1533-position model. The record is from RNAcentral.
GUGAGGAAUAUUGGUCAAUGGGCGCGAGCCUGAACCAGCCAAGUAGCGUGAGGGAUGACUGCCCUAUGGGUUGUAAACCUCUUUUGCAGGGGGGUAAAGUGGUUCACGUGUGGACCAUUGCAAGUACCCUGCGAAUAAGGAUCGGCUAACUCCGUGCCAGCAGCCGCGGUAAUACGGAGGAUCCGAGCGUUAUCCGGAUUUAUUGGGUUUAAAGGGAGCGUAGGCGGGGGUUUAAGUCAGCUGUGAAAUGCCGUGGCCCAACCAUGGAACUGCAGUUGAAACUGGACCUCUUGAGAGUACAUAAGGAAGGCGGAAUUCGUGGUGUAGCGGUGAAAUGCAUAGAUAUCACGAAGAACUCCGAUUGCGAAGGCAGCUUUCCGGGGUACAUCUGACGCUGAAGCUCGAAAGUGCGGGAAUCAAACAGGAUUAGAAACCCUAGUAGUCC